Non-coding RNA from Picea glauca (white spruce), 119 nucleotides. NCBI's taxonomy places the organism in Eukaryota, Viridiplantae, Streptophyta, Pinopsida, Pinales, Pinaceae. The record is from Rfam.
GGGUGUGAUCACACUAACGUUAAUGCACCAAAUCCCAUCAGAACUCCGCAGUUAAGCUCGCUUGGGCUAGAGUAGUCCUAGGAUGGGUGACCUCCCAGGAAGUCCUAGUGUUGCAUCCU